GCUGCCGGGGGAGGGGCGGCCGCCGCCCGCCUGCGCUCAGAGACUCACGCAGCCCCAGUCCCGCCAGUCCGCCAACACAGUAGUGCCGGCCCCCCUCUUUCCCUGGCCCUGCCCCCCCUCCCCGCCUUUGGCUCGCUCCGCCUUUCUGCCCCCCACCCCCACCUCACGGGUACGGGCCAUUCCCGGCCAGGAAACGCCGUGGCGCCGCGUUGGGCCUAACUCGAGUCCUGCCGCCUCCCGGGAGUGCCGUGCGCCGCAGCCCGGGCCCAGGCCCCGGCAGC
RNAcentral lists this long non-coding RNA (281 nucleotides) under Homo sapiens (human). Its description in RNAcentral is "non-protein coding lnc-THUMPD3-8:1". The record is from RNAcentral. Lineage: Eukaryota; Metazoa; Chordata; Mammalia; Primates; Hominidae.